UGGGGAAUAUUGCACAAUGGGGGAAACCCUGAUGCAGCGACGCCGCGUGAGCGAAGAAGGCCUUCGGGUUGUAAAAAUCUUUUGUAUGGGAAGAAAAUGACAGUACCAUACGAAUAAGGACCGGCUAAUUACGUGCCAGCAGCCGCGGUAAUACGUAAGGUCCGAGCGUUGUCCGGAAUCAUUGGGCGUAAAGGGUACGUAGGCGGAUAAGCAAGUUAGAAGUGAAAUCCUAUAGCUCAACUAUAGUAAGCUUUUAAAACUGCUCAUCUUGAGGUAUGGAAGGGAAAGUGGAAUUCCUAGUGUAGCGGUGAAAUGCGCAGAUAUUAGGAGGAAUACCGGUGGCGAAGGCGACUUUCUGGCCAUAUACUGACGCUGAGGUACGAAAGCGUGGGUAGCAAACAGG
Molecule: ribosomal RNA, 403 nt
Filed under: Verrucomicrobiota bacterium
Lineage: Bacteria; Pseudomonadati; Verrucomicrobiota
Description: Verrucomicrobia bacterium partial 16S ribosomal RNA
Rfam family: Bacterial small subunit ribosomal RNA
Source: RNAcentral